GUUUGACUUCCCAGUGCAGACUAGAAGCAUGUUGGAUGGUGUGUAAUUUACAUAAUUUCACAAGGGUUUCACCAAAUUAGCUGUGCCCUACUUAGAAAUGCCUCUUUCUAUUUAUCUAGAUAAUGAAUAAUAAUAUGGAAUAUGCUAUUGUUCUGCAUAAAUAUGGCUGAUGUUUUUGUGGAAAACUUGUGCAAACCUAACCCAGGGUAAUGGAAACACACGCCAGCUAGCUCCUUUCAGUCUGUGUAUUGAUCACAUUUGCAGUAAAUCACACUUUUAAAGCCCUGCCAAGUACUUCUCAUCAUUCUUUCAUAGGUCUUCUUAAUGUAGAGAAACAAAUAUUUAACUUGCGUUUACUUACAUGUUAUUGCCUAAAUUGGAAUCGUAAAAGCUAAAUUGAAAGGAGUAAGGCACUUCUCUUUCUAACCAUAAAUAUUAAUCAAGGUAUCAAGCAACAAACAACCAUAUUUCUAGACUGUUUCUUGGGGACUCUGAUGAGGCACGGAUUAGUUUUUAAAACGAUCACAGGAAAUGUACCUUCAUGUAGAAAUGUUAUGCAGAGACUGUAAAAUUUCCCCCGGUGGAUUAAUGAACAGUGUGCUACUUGGGUCUUAUUCAUAGAUUCAUUCUAGAAAAGUGGAUGAUCAGUCUCACAUGAAAUUAAGCUCAUAUAAAUGAUAUGCCAUGUUUUUAUGAUUAUGGAUGCUGUAUUUAAUUUGAGUUAACAAAUACUUUUGUAGGGAGUGUUUUAGAAAUAGAGGUUGCGGACUUCCGGGGUGGCGCCAUCGGCAAUGGCGGAUUCCCUCUGAACUGGACGGACCAGCUCCACGGGAAUCGGGUCUUUUCCGCUACGGCGAAGCGGGGACCCAUUCAGAAAUCACAGGUGGAUGAAGCCUGUGACCAUGGGACUCGGCGGGCACCCUUAGCGCCCCCCCAACCCGCAAAAGAACCCUUUAACGGGCUCCGGAGCGAAGAGGGGGAAGUGGCGCAGUGCUGAGAGUCAACUGCUUCUUCCGUGGAGCGAAGCCGCACAGCCGUUGCCGGAGAGCGCUGCCUUUUUCCUGGGACAAUCUGGCUUCUAAAAUAAUCACCCGUGAGUACCUAAACUCGGACAAUUGGACUCUAAAUAAGGACUUGUGAGCAGAAAGGAAAAUUGGACUUAAAAGUUUACCUUAAUUUGGCGCUGAAACGGGAAGGUCUAAACAGGAAGUCAGCCUUCCGUUUCUUUGUAGAUAGAUUAAAGCAAAGACAUGGCAAACUAGAGCUCAGAAAAUCGCCUGUAAAAGAUUAACUUUCAUCAUUUAAAAUUGUUGAACCCCCUUCGGAAGCAGGAGAAGAGGGGGGAUCUUUUCGGACUGUUUAAACCUGCAGAAGUGAGGGUAAAGUAAAGUAACUUUCCACCGUCCUGAUCCUGGAGCGGGAUGUUAGGACUGACGUUUUUUUAAAGCUCAUUGACCAGAGACAACGUUUUUGACAGAUAGCUAUAAGAAGAGAAACUUUGACUCCAUUGUUCCCCUUCGCUUCUUAAAGGAACAAAUAUUGACAAAAUAUCUGAAAAAGGAAACUUUUGUUGCUAGACUUGUCUUUAAAAGAAAGAACAAAUAGAAGUUUUCCCCCAGAGGGAGACUGUGAAACUGUAACCAACUUCGGGGAGCUGGCAGCUGUUACAGAUUACAAUCGUGGGAACAGACAUCUGACCUUGCAGGACAAUGUAUUCAGAAGCUCUGUUGUGUGCUUUCUAUAAAACAAAUGCCCUACUGGAACAGCUACAUGAGAAGACGAAUUUAAUGGCUGAUUCGAUUAGAAAUUUUGAACAGGCAGUGGGAAGAUAUGUGGAGCCCACCCAGGAAUUAAAUCAGGAGUGUGCCCUGACAGAACAGGCCCAACAGGAACAUGAGCUUUUGGAUUUGACAAAUGAACUUGGAAAAAGCCAGAUUUGGAAAGAAAAAGUUUGGUUUGGUUUGGAAAUGGGGGGCUGGAUAGACCCCCCUAUGCAGGGAUGUUUGGACUUUUCAAGUCUGGCAAUGGGCCGUGAGAUGUCUGGGAUUGUGGGGGCUCCUAAUUUUGGAGGGAUUUUGAAACAUGUUCUUAAAUACCACAUGGAAUUUAGUGUGGAUUAUGGAAAAGGGGCUGAUCUGUCGAGAAGGGUCAAAAAUAUUGUUAAGCUGGAGUUCCCACGAGUGAAACGAGCAGGAGACAAGGGAAAAUACAGUUACAAAUAUGAAGAAGAGCUGCGGAAGGGACAUGGAAGAGACUUAAGGGCCUCGGAUAUAAGGUUACCAGGUUAAUGCGCUAGAUCGAUGGGAUAAUAAGGACUGACAAAACCCGGGACCAGGAGGAAGGGACGCUGGAUGAAGAUUGGAUUGUUUUUAUUUCUUUUUCUACUACUAGGAUUGUUUUAUAAAAUUUAUGAAUGUUAGAAAAAUGUUGGAAUGAAAUUACUUGGCUUUAGUAAAAAUGUUUAAAGAAUUAUGUAAGAAUAUUAUGGUUAUGAGAAGUUGGUAAAAAUAAGAUUUAAGUUUUAAGUUUCAAGGUUUUUUAUAGUAAGAUAAGAUUAAAAUAGUUUAAGGUAAUGUAAUGACAGAAUUUUAUGAAAUAUGGAAAGGAUUUGCUGCAACAAUUAACAACUAGGAUACAAAAAAAGGGAGGAGGAGGAGGUCAAAGAAAGAAGGUAAUGACAGUUGAGGAUUUGAGAAUAAUGGAUUUGUUUUUAAAUGUUUGCGGUGUAUUUUUGUUUUUUUUUUGAAUUUGUAUUGUUGGAUGUGGUUUGUGUUUUUCUUUGUUCUUUCUUUGUUCUUUUUCUACUUUGUUUUCUUUUGUAACUCUAAAUUUUCCCCCCCAAUAAAUAUUUUUUAAAAAAAAUAGAAAUAGAGUUUGCAUCUUUCAUUGCCCACAAGGACAAUGUGAAACAAAAUGCAUCGGGCGUGUUAUAUCUCUUAAAGCUUCCAAUAUAUUUUAUCACCAUUUUGGGUCUUUCUUUCUUUUUCUUUUCUUGCCCUUAUUCCAGAGUAAACACCUGGGGUGGAGGCUGUUGCAGCAAAAAUGCACACACGCGCACACUUAGCAAAAUACUAUAGAAGCGGAGCAGCAGUGUUGUCAAGAUGUGUUAAAAGCAUACUAACUUAGGAUAUCUGUUCCACUUGUGCAACACAGUGUUGGAUAUAACCCAACAGGAUUAUUCCCUUCACAUGGCACAGUUUGCUCCCCUAGGAUUAUCUUCAGAAAAAAGCAAUUCCGCUUUCAAGUGAAUUCCAUAAAGUUUUAACAAACUAAGGCGGCAACCCGAAACCCCAGUUACCUGGGGGUAAUUCACACUGAAUUCAAUGGGGCUUACUUCUGAGUAGGCAUGGUUAUGAUCACCCUAUAACUCUUACAAAUACUUGGGUUUGAUAUUUAGCCAAGAUAGUGAGGUUGGGUGUUUUUCUUGUCAGUCUUCCUUGUUUUCUUGCCAUUUUUUAUCCUAGCCUUUGCUUCAGCACUGCUAAAAUGCCCUUAAAAUAUAUAUACUGCUGUAACCAUUUUGUACCACUGGUGAAUUGGCACCCUGUUAAAUGCCUUUUCCUGUAAAUGACUGUGUACGGAGAAACUUGCAACGUGUGCUACAUUGGAUGAUCUAUUGCCUACCUCAGCGUUUUGUGCUUUAAGACUGUGGCGUAGAACAAAAGAUAUGGGAAAUCGUAUGGGAACAAGAAGUGUGUGCGUAUUAAGGAAAUACCAUACGAAAAAAAUGAACUUGCAUUGCAGGAAAGACCAGACUUGCUUGCAUGUCUACAAGCAAUCAAGACACACACACACAAAUGAAUAAAGACUGCCAUGCAUAAUAGGUCUGGAAACAAAUGAUCAAGAAUGAAUGAGGGCAAAUUUGAGUUGUAGAAAAUUAGCAUACUUAAUGUCUAGAAACACAACAAACUGCAGGACCACAUUGUCCAGUUUGGGGCAAAAAAAAUCAAAUUUGCUGCUCUUUAUUGAAAGUUAGGCCUCAUUUCCAUACGCAGCUCUACCAUUUUGGUGGACAUUUCAUUAGCAUAAUCAUGACUGCUUAGAUUACUGGUAAGCAACAGUAAAAUCCUGAAAUAACCUAAAUAAAGCAUUGUUGUCACAAGGGUGCUUGGCAGAUUGCUCAGAUUUGACAAAAGUUGAAUUCAUCGAAAGGACCAUGGGCAAAGAUUAUUAUCAAGGACUUUACUUGCCCCCCCCCUAUUUCCACCCGGACAAUCUCCAUGCACAGGGGUCCAAGAGAGCAGUGAUGAGGAGAGAGUGCUUGUUUUGCUUGCAUCUUCUUACAGACACCUGCCACUUCAGACAUGCUGGUCCAAGAUAAGCACAGACAACUGUACGAAGGAAAUGCGGAAUAGCCAAUGGGAUAGGUUGGGAAUUGAUGAGAAUUUUGAGCUUCUGAGGCCAAGCAGUUUCACAUGGGAACACGGGAUUUCAGUUGUAGUAAUGUAGCAGAAGAUGCCUCACUGAAACCAAAUGAGCAAGUUUACUGUGACUUUAAGACCCAUUUCAAUGGGAAUGACAGAGCUGUCUUCAUUUCAACAAUUCGUUUUGCUUUCCUGCUAUUUCAUGGGUUGUUUCCCCCCCUCCCCAAACAAACUAACAAACUGAGCAAUAGAACAAUUGCCCUUAUUCCCUUGUUUCCACAACAAAAAGGAUUUUAUCUGGUACCUUUGCAAUAAUUUACAUUGGCCUUGAGGGGAUGUUGCAUGAGAAAAAUAAAUAAAUCCAAGUGUGUAUCUGUACUCUGCCACUACACACCCACUUGCCUUCUCCGUUAGAUCAUUGCAUGCUAGAAAAAAAAUAUAUUGUUUUGAAAACUCUCAAAAUAAGAUUAGUAUUUUUUUUUAAAUGACAGUGUGGAAAGCCAUGACACGUAGCAUUAGCCUGAGAAGAGCAUUCAUCACGAAACUCCAAUUCAUCAUGAGACUUCUCAGCUUCUUUUCAAACUGUGGGCUUAUCUGUCUCCCCCACAUGCUAUUUCUUCACUCCUUCCUGAUCUUCUGAACAGCUUUCUGGUGUCAUGAACUCCGUAUGUCAUCCAAAUGGUUAGAAUUCAUUUUUGUCUCUGUGCGUGUGUAAAAGAGAGAGAGAGAAAGGUGUCGGUUGCAAGUGACUUUCAGCCUGAUGCAAUAUUUAGUAGCUCCAAAGAACAUAGGAAACCUUUACAACGAAAAUCCCAAGCCAUUGUUUUCCUUGACCCGAGUAGCAAACCAAACUGCUGGGCAUGUAUGUUUUUGAGAGGCAUAUUGCUGAGAUAUUAACAUAUUUACAGAUUCAACAAACUGAGUAGAUUGAAAAUAAUAUUUUCUAACACGUGUCUUACAUUUCAAAAACAAUAAUGAUGUUUGGAUAUAUUUAGCCACCAUACUGGCUAUUUUGAUUGUAGAAUCCAAAGGGAUCUCUUGCAGCGUCUUGUUUUCAUGUUCUUACUUCCAAUGAUGAUUUUGGUGGUGUGUGUGUGGGAAUUAUGGAGUUUCAGAACACCCAGAGACCAUCCUACCUGGCAGUUAUCAGAAGUGAGAGUAUUGAUUGUACUAAGACUAGGUAGAUCCAUGUUGAUUCAUCCCCACUCAUUCAUGAAGUCCACUUGGUGACCUUGGAAAAGUCCUUCUUUCUCAACCUAACGUACCUACAGAGGAUAAAAUAGGGUGGGGUGGGAGGGGACCAUUUUCACCACCCUGAGCUCCUUGGAGGAAAGGUGGAAUAUACAUUUGACAAACAAAGAAUAUUGUGCAUCCUACUAAGCCACAGUUGUCUUCUUUUUUUAGUAUAAUUUUAUAUGUUGAAGAGCUGAACUCUGAUGUAUGGGACUGAAUCAUGGUGAAAUGGAUCAAAUUAGGGUUGUUGUCUUUUAAAUUGCUUCUAUUAAAUAUUUUUUUGGGUUACAAAAGUACAUACAGCAUCUCUGCUUUCAAUUCGUAGAGUCCUUUCUACAGUUCAGUUAUUUUUGAUAUGAGACACUAGAGCAGGGCUUUCCAAGGUGGGGAGAGAAGGGGGGUAGUAAACUUUCAUUCUUUUACACAGUGUAUGAUCAAGGCUUUUGUGUCAGUGUCACAUGGGUAAGUUCUAUUUCCAUUCAUUUAUUAGGGGGUUUUUUUGGUUGUGAGAGAGAUUUGGGGGCCCAGGGCCCGAUUGGUUUCUGUCAGUUCACCGCAGUGAGUUUUGUUUGCAUGUGUGUGAGGGAGGGGGUUGCUAGGACAAGUUAUGCUUUUGGUGGGUUCUUGUUGUUGUCUUGUGUAUGCCAUAAAGGGAAGCCACACUGGGGUGAAGGCAUCCUCUUUUGUUUGUCCCCAUGCUAGUGGAUCAAGCUGUUGUUGUUGUUGUUAUUUAGUCGUGUCCGACUCUUCGUGACCCUGUGGACCAGAGCACGCCAGGCACUCCUGUCUUCUACUGCCUCCCACAGUUUGGUCAAACUCAUGGUGGUAGCUUCGAGAACACUGUCCAACCAUCUCGUCCUCUGUCGUCCCCUUCUCCUUGUGCCCUCCAUCUUUCCCAACAUCAGGGUCUUUUCCAGGGAGUCUUCUCUUCUCUUGAGGUGGCCAAAGUAUUGGAGCCUCAGCUUCAGGAUCUGUAGUGGAUCAAGCUAGGUUUGAAUUAACUCUUAAACUCUUGUGUGGGGAACCUGUGGCCUUCCAGAUGUUUCUCAACUCCAAUAGCCUCAGCUAACAUUGUCAAGUAUAAUGGAAGCUGCAAUCCAACAACAUCUGGAGGGCCACCUCUGUCUUAAAUAAAGGCUGGUAAAUAAAAGUACUAGUACUGAGGUACAAGAACGCCCUGGUACCCGAUUAAAAUGUUCCCUGCUUCCAUCAUAGUUAUAAAAUUUAUUUAAGAGUUUUCUGCUUAAUCCUUGAACAUUCCUAAAAAUACUCAAUAAGCAUGUGUUUUCUGUGGAAGAAGUAGAAUAGCUUCAAGGAGAUAAUGUCAAAAACAUUUACACACAUUAGAAGGCCCAAAAUCACACUCUGGAUUUUGAAACAAAGUGAAUUCCAAAAUGAUUUCAACCUGUAUAUCGAUGGAGCCCUAUAUAGCUCGUUUCUUCAGUCUGGGCUGGAGUGACUUGACCUUUCAGUUUAUAUACGAGCGCUUGACUUGAAAUGAAGAUAACAGCUAGAACUGGCAUAUUGCGUUGCCAUACCAGGAAAUGCUAGUGUAUGUCCUUCCACAUAAUUAAGUUGCCAGAUGAACGCUGGUGCCCUUUUCUUAACAUGAAGAGAGGGAGAGAUGUAGGGGAGUAUAGCACCACAUACCAGAGAGAAAGAAGUAGCAUAAGUACGUUACCUUCCUUCAUUCUCAUGGCUUGAACCCCAUUUUUUAAAAAACUAAGAAGUGUAUUUUACACUAGGGUUCUAAUCCGUCUAGGACAGGGGUCAGCAAACCGGUCCACUGUCCCUCAGACCUUGUGUGGGACCAGACUAUAUUUUGAAAAAUAAAAAUAAAAAAUGAAUGAAUUCCUGUGCCCCACAAAUAACCCAGAGAUGCAUUUUAAAUAAAAGGACACAUUCUACUCAUGUAAAAGCACGCUGAUUCCCGGACCGUCUGCAGGCCGGAUUUAGAAGGCGAUUGGGCCGGAUCCGUCCCUCGGGCCUUAGUUUGCCUACCCUUGGUCUAGGAGCUCUGUGCAUGCUCCUAGCAGGAAGCUUCUGCAUUUGUAUUAAGAGCUGGAUGGGCAGACAUGUACUGUGCACAGUGUUCCACUCACCAAUUCAGUAGUCAGAAAUGCAUGUACAGAGCUCCUUUCUAAAAGGUAAAAUCUGGCUGUUUGGAGGAAGGGUGUGUGUGUGGCGAAUUAAUCCCCCUGCUCACGCUUCCCCACCAAAUAUCUGAUCAGUGGGAUUUUAGCUUUGGGGGAGGGGGCGGGGCUCCAUUGCGCAUGAGUUUAGAGGGACGCGGGUGGCGCUGUGGGUUAAACCACAGAGCCUAGGACUUGCCAAUCAGAAGGUUGGCGGUUCAAAUCCCCAUGACAGGGUGAGCUCCCGUUGCUCGGUCCCUGCUCCUGCCAACCUAGCAGUUCAAAAGCAUGUCAAAGUGCAAGUAGAUAAAUAGGUACCACUCCGGUGGGAAGGUAAACGGCGUUUCCGUACACUGCUCUGGUUCGCCAGAAGCAGCUUAGUCAUGCUGGCCACAUGACCCGGAAGCUGUACGCCGGCUCCCUCGGCCAAUAAAAUGAGAUCAGCGCCGCAACCCCAGAGCCGGUCAUGACUAGACCUAAUGGUCAGGGGCCCCUUUACCUUUAAGACAGAAUAAUUAAUUUCACAUUUCAAUUCCACAAUCUGAGAUGGAAAACUUGGACUCUUGGAAGUAAAAUUGGUGGAUAUUUCAUUAUUACAUACAGAGGCAAAUUUAACACCAGCAACUGACACAUCUAGUAAGGAAGGAAAUACUGGACAUGUAAGAUCAAAAAGUAUAUACCAGCUCCAAUAUGUGUAUUUGCUCACGGUCCUGUGUUAUUCAAUGAGAACAGUCAUCCCAGCUGCAACGGCUUGAGUGUUUUCGGAAUCUUUGUCAUUAUUUUAUUUUUUACCAUAAUUAAUUCUUACAAAUAUGUUGUAAACAGACUGAACGUCUGGAUUCUUUUUGAUUACAACUCAGGAUAACUUCAGAGUGGAAACAAAAACUGGCAUGUACAUAGAAUUUUGUACACUUACAUUUUUCAGAGCAGCCAAUCAGCUUACUGUAUUCUGUACAUUUGACUGCAGUUCUCUGAACAAUCUAGCCAUAAUAUACACAUGAUACAACAUACAGAUAUGAACUUUUCUUUUCUGUAUACUUUAUUUACAGGCAGAGCUGAAUGCCAACAUGACCCAAUCAAUCCCCUGAGGCGCCAGUUAUAAUACAAGCACUUCCAUUGCAGUGGGUUUCCUAAAGAAAGGAAAAUAGCAAAAUAAACUAAAGCUGAUUGAUGGAAUGGAGCCUUUGGGCUUGGUUUUCGUAGGGCAUAAAUUAUCAUAUCCCCUAUUCACUCAGCUCUAAGACCACGUAUUAUGAGCCAAAUUAUAUUUGGAUCCAUUAUUACUUCAAAGCCUAUAUUUUCAGUCUGAUAUCAGAAAAACAGAUUGUGUUUACAUGUGCAGAGCACCAGGCACCGUAUUUCAACGUGUUGAACCGCAAUGUCAGAGGGUUUGUUGUGAAGUUAUCAAAUUGGAUUGAGGACUAGCCUCACCGGAAUGGAAAGGGAUAAUUGGUGAGGGCUAAUUGUCUGAUUCCUAAUGAAAACCCCAACCUCACUUCAUAAUGAAAUACUGCCAAGAGGAAGUACUUUUAGUUAAUUCUAAAAUUCUACCUUCCAGCUUGAAGACAAUGGUACCAAUCUGCAGUUUUCUUACGAUCAUUCACUAGGAAUGGACAUUUACAUCUUAUUCUGGUAAAGUUUAACAGUGAACAUAUUCUAAUCCGCAAACCUUUGUUGCUUAUCACAGGUUGCCUUUAUGAAAACCCUACAAGUAUCUUUCUGGUCUCAAGCUUCUGCUGGGUACGAUCCUGUAUCUUUUCCACACUCUCUCGUGACUCCAAGAGAUCUGGGCAUAUGGACCAGCUGCAGGAUCAAAACCUCCACUGUAGUUUUCUGGAUAUGCAUAGGUGCAUCGCUGCGGGAACCCGUUUAAACUCUAGGUAAGAAUUAAUAUUAUUCACUAAUUGUAUAAAUGGAGAGGGUUUGUCCUGUAAGAGU
Podarcis lilfordi (Lilford's wall lizard) is the source of this 9667-nucleotide non-coding RNA. The record is from the annotation of a GenBank genome assembly. Lineage: Eukaryota; Metazoa; Chordata; Lepidosauria; Squamata; Lacertidae.